This 265-nucleotide long non-coding RNA is filed under the name Lathyrus oleraceus (garden pea). Its description in RNAcentral is "Pisum sativum (pea) long non-coding RNA (PSAT_LNC022384)". Lineage: Eukaryota; Viridiplantae; Streptophyta; Magnoliopsida; Fabales; Fabaceae. The record is from RNAcentral.
UUUGAAUCUGGACCGUUGGAUCUCAUUUCCAGAUUCAAUCUCAGCCUUUGUUUGUUAUGACUUUUUUUAAUUCUUUGUGUGACGCGGUUGACCAGGGUUCACCAUGAGCGCGCGCUUCAGGACCAUCAGAUUGACCACGUAAAUUAAUGAACGUGAUCCAACGCUUCCGUAUUUUCCUUUCUUUUUUAAUUUCUAAUUUUAUUUUCUUUAAUUCCUUUUUAUUUCAAAAAUUGAUAUCUCCUUCAUUUAAAAUCCAAAAAUUAUG